CGAGAGUCAGCUAAUCCCAUAAAACGUUUCGUAGUCCGGAUCGCAGUCUGCAACUCGACUGCGUGAAGUCGGAAUCGCUAGUAAUCGCAGGUCAGAAUACUGCGGUGAAUACGUUCCCGGGCCUUGUACACACCGCCCGUCACACCAUGGAAGCUAGCCACACCCAAAGUCGUUACCUUAACCGUUUGGAGGGGGGCGCCUAAGGUAGGGUUAGUGACUGGGGUGAAGUCGUAACAAGGUAGCCGUACUGAAGGUGCGGCUGGAUCACC
This 269-nucleotide ribosomal RNA is filed under the name uncultured Strombidinopsis. RNAcentral's name for it is "partial Bacterial small subunit ribosomal RNA". It matches the Rfam family "Bacterial small subunit ribosomal RNA", at positions 1258 to 1527 of the family's 1533-position model. Lineage: Eukaryota; Ciliophora; Spirotrichea; Choreotrichida. The record is from RNAcentral.